AUUGAACGCUGGCGGCAGGCCUAACACAUGCAAGUCGAACGAGUGGCGGACGGGUGAGUAACGUCUGGGAAACUGCCUGAGGGAGGGGGAUAACUACUGGAAACGGCAGCUAAUACCGCAUACCAUCAGAUGUGCCCAGAUCGGAUUAGAUUGGUGGUGGGGUAACGGCUCACAAAGGCGACGACCCCUAGCUGGUCUGAGAGGAUGACCAGCCACACUGGAACUGAGACACGGUCCAGACUCCUACGGGAGGCAGCAGUGGGGAAUAUUGCACAAUGGGCGCAAGCCUGAUUCAGCCAUGCCGCGUGUAUGAAGAAGGCCUUCGGGUUGUAAAGUACUUUCAGCGGGGAGGCGUUACCCGCAGAAGAAGCACCGGCUAACUCCGUGCCAGCCGCCGCGGUAAUUC
This 406-nucleotide ribosomal RNA is filed under the name uncultured bacterium. RNAcentral's name for it is "partial 16S ribosomal RNA". It matches the Rfam family "Bacterial small subunit ribosomal RNA", at positions 30 to 526 of the family's 1533-position model. The record is from RNAcentral.